Non-coding RNA from Xenopus tropicalis (tropical clawed frog), 114 nucleotides. NCBI's taxonomy places the organism in Eukaryota, Metazoa, Chordata, Amphibia, Anura, Pipidae. The record is from Rfam.
UUGGGAUAUGGGGACAUGUACCCAGUGACUUGGUCCGGCAUGUUGGUGGGUGCUCUUUGUGCUUUGGCAGGUGUGCUAACUAUUGCUAUGCCAGUCCCUGUUAUUGUCAACAAU